This 76-nucleotide transfer RNA is filed under the name Salmonella enterica subsp. enterica. RNAcentral's name for it is "tRNA-OTHER". It matches the Rfam family "tRNA". From Rfam's summary of the family: Transfer RNA (tRNA) molecules are approximately 80 nucleotides in length. Their secondary structure includes four short double-helical elements and three loops (D, anti-codon, and T loops). The record is from RNAcentral. Lineage: Bacteria; Pseudomonadati; Pseudomonadota; Gammaproteobacteria; Enterobacterales; Enterobacteriaceae.
AGGCUUGUAGCUCCAGGUGGUUGAAGCGCACCCUGAUAAGGGUGAGUCGGUGGUUCCAAUCCACUCAGGCCUACCA